RNAcentral lists this long non-coding RNA (1163 nucleotides) under Vulpes vulpes (red fox). Its description in RNAcentral is "lncRNA (ENSVVUG00000020982.1)". The record is from RNAcentral. Lineage: Eukaryota; Metazoa; Chordata; Mammalia; Carnivora; Canidae.
UCUCUUGCUCUCUCUCUCAAAUAAAUAUAUAAAAUCGAAGAAGGAAGGAAGAAGGAAGGAAGGAAGGAAGGAAGGAAGGAAGGAAGGGAGGAAGGAAGGAAGGAAGGGAGGAAGGAAGGAAGGAAGGGAGGAAGGAAGGAAGGAAGGGAGGAAGGAAGGAAGGAAGGGAGGAAGGAAGGAAGGAAGGGAGGAAGGAAGGAAGGAAGGGAGGAAGGAAGGAAGGAAGGGAGGAAGGAAGGAAGGAAGGGAGGAAGGAAGGAAGGAAGGGAGGAAGGAAGGAAGGAAGGGAGGAAGGAAGGAAGGAAGGGAGGAAGGAAGGAAGGAAGGGAGGAAGGAAGGAAGGAAGGGAGGAAGGAAGGAAGGAAGGGAGGAAGGAAGGAAGGAAGGGAGGAAGGAAGGAAGGAAGGGAGGAAGGAAGGAAGGAAGGGAGGAAGGAAGGAAGGAAGGGAGGAAGGAAGGAAGGAAGGGAGGAAGGAAGGAAGGAAGGGAGGAAGGAAGGAAGGAAGGGAGGAAGGAAGGAAGGAAGGGAGGAAGGAAGGAAGGAAGGGAGGAGGAAGGAAGGAAGGAGGAGGAGGAGAAGUAGAAGAAAGAAGAAGAAGAAGAAGAAGAAAGAAGAAAGAAGAAAGAAGAAAGAAGAAGAAAUCCCUACUAACAAAAUCUGGGGGAAACUCAAACCCGAGGCCACCGCCUUGAGGCCUUCCAUUACAGGUUUCCAGAAAGGCAGGUCAGGUCACUCCCCUUCCCUUCCUAGAGUAGUACGUGUGUGUUGGAAAGAAGAGACGAGAUGUCCCCUUGUUCAGUGGCUCCCACACCAGACAGCAACGGAAGCAACUGAGGGGCUUGUUAACAUGCAGAUCCCUAGAUCCCACCCAGUCUGGAGAUGAAGGUCCCCAAAUCUGCUCUUGCAGAGCAGCCCCGCAGCGCAGGCGUGUUCUCAGGGCAGCAGGCCCCUGGCCAGGCUCUCUGGCUGCAGACACCAUCCUUUCCACAGACGUCUCCCUGACCCUGGCGGAAGUGUCCUUCUAGGAAAGGCCCCCCCAACCGUGUGCCUCACAGCCCCCCCCACUCCGGGACACCCCACGUCAGCCUGUGACGGGGCCAACCUGGUGUGGGACAGCCCCCCUUCCCAUCCAGUUGCCUCCCUGCCUGUGCGCCCCCUUCAC